UAUAGGUUUGGUCCCAGCCUUCCUGUUAACUUUCAAUAGACUUAUACAUGCAAGCAUCCACGCCCCGGUGAGUAACGCCCUUCGAAUCACACAGGACUAAAAGGAGCAGGUAUCAAGCACACACUCUUGUAGCUCACAACGCCUUGCUUAACCACACCCCCACGGGAGACAGCAGUAACAAAAAUUAAGCCAUAAACGAAAGUUUGACUAAGCCAUAUUGACCAGGGUCGGUAAAUCUCGUGCCAGCCACCGCGGUCAUACGAUUGACCCAAGCUAACAGGAGUACGGCGUAAAGCGUGUUAAAGCAUCAUACUAAAUAGAGUUAAAUUUUAAUUAAACUGUAAAAAGCCAUAAUUAUAACAAAAAUAAAUGACGAAAGUAACCCUACAAUAGCUGAUACACCAUAGCUAAGACCCAAACUGGGAUUAGAUACCCCACUAUGCUUAGCCCUAAACACAAAUAAUUAU
Molecule: ribosomal RNA, 467 nt
Filed under: Ovis aries (sheep)
Lineage: Eukaryota; Metazoa; Chordata; Mammalia; Artiodactyla; Bovidae
Description: partial 12S ribosomal RNA
Source: RNAcentral